This 253-nucleotide ribosomal RNA is filed under the name uncultured bacterium. RNAcentral's name for it is "partial 16S ribosomal RNA". It matches the Rfam family "Bacterial small subunit ribosomal RNA", at positions 524 to 776 of the family's 1533-position model. The record is from RNAcentral.
UACGGAGGGUGCAAGCGUUAAUCGGAAUUACUGGGCGUAAAGCGCGCGUAGGCGGUUUUGCGAGUCGGAUGUGAAAGCCCUGGGCUUAACCUGGGAAUUGCAUUCGAUACUGCAUAACUAGAGUAUGGUAGAGGGAAGUGGAAUUUCCGGUGUAGCGGUGAAAUGCGUAGAUAUCGGAAGGAACAUCAGUGGCGAAGGCGACUUCCUGGGCCAAUACUGACGCUGAGGUGCGAAAGCGUGGGGAGCAAACAGG